Molecule: ribosomal RNA, 253 nt
Filed under: uncultured bacterium
Lineage: Bacteria
Description: partial 16S ribosomal RNA
Rfam family: Bacterial small subunit ribosomal RNA
Source: RNAcentral
UACGAAGGGGGCUAGCGUUGUUCGGAUUUACUGGGCGUAAAGCGCACGUAGGCGGAUUGUUAAGUUAGAGGUGAAAUCCCGGAGCUCAACUCCGGAACUGCCUUUAAUGCUGGCAAUCUCGAGUCCGGAAGAGGUAAGUGGAACUCCUAGUGUAGAGGUGGAAUUCGUAGAUAUUAGGAAGAACACCAGUGGCGAAGGCGGCUCACUGGCCCGUAUCUGACGCUCAGGCGCGACAGCGUGGGGAGCAAACAGG